This 253-nucleotide ribosomal RNA is filed under the name uncultured bacterium. Its description in RNAcentral is "partial 16S ribosomal RNA". It matches the Rfam family "Bacterial small subunit ribosomal RNA", at positions 524 to 776 of the family's 1533-position model. The record is from RNAcentral.
UACGUAGGGGGCGAGCGUUGUCCGGAUUUAUUGGGCGUAAAGAGCGUGUAGGCGGCCAGGUAGGUCUGCUGUGAAAACUCGAGGCUCAACCUCGAGACGUCGGCGGAAACCAUCUGGCUAGAGUCCGGAAGAGGAGAGUGGAAUUCCUGGUGUAGCGGUGAAAUGCGCAGAUAUCAGGAAGAACACCCGUGGCGAAGGCGGCUCUCUGGGCCAUAACUGACGCUGAGAAGCGAAAGCAUGGGGAGCGAACAGG